Molecule: unclassified non-coding RNA, 126 nt
Filed under: fungal sp.
Lineage: Eukaryota; Fungi
Description: partial internal transcribed spacer region
Source: RNAcentral
GAGAGCCGAGAUGCAAGAGCGUGGUUGGAGAUCGUCGCCGGUUUGUCCGGCGCUGCAUCGGCCAGCGGCUCUUCGCGUAGCAAGAACUCCGGCGAGCAGAGAAUCGCCUUCAGGCCCACGCGCACG